This 253-nucleotide ribosomal RNA is filed under the name uncultured bacterium. RNAcentral's name for it is "partial 16S ribosomal RNA". It matches the Rfam family "Bacterial small subunit ribosomal RNA", at positions 524 to 776 of the family's 1533-position model. The record is from RNAcentral. RNAcentral also lists the same sequence under 1 other name.
GACAGAGGGUGCGAACGUUGCUCGGAAUUACUGGGCGUAAAGCGCGUGUAGGCGGGUAAUCAAGUCAGGUGUGAAAUCCCUGGGCUCAACCCAGGAACUGCACUUGAAACUGGUUGCCUUGAGUGUUGGAGAGGGAAGCGGAAUUCCUGGUGUAGAGGUGAAAUUCGUAGAUAUCAGGAGGAACACCGGUGGCGAAGGCGGCUUCCUGGACAAUUACUGACGCUGAGACGCGAAAGCGUGGGGAGCAAACAGG